Molecule: ribosomal RNA, 1126 nt
Filed under: human metagenome
Description: bacterial LSU rRNA
Rfam family: Bacterial large subunit ribosomal RNA
Source: RNAcentral
UGUUUAUUAAAAACACAGCACUCUGCAAACACGAAAGUGGACGUAUAGGGUGUGAUGCCUGCCCGGUGCUGGAAGGUUAAUUGAUGGUGUUAUCGCAAGAGAAGCUCCUGAUCGAAGCCCCAGUAAACGGCGGCCGUAACUAUAACGGUCCUAAGGUAGCGAAAUUCCUUGUCGGGUAAGUUCCGACCUGCACGAAUGGCAUAAUGAUGGCCAGGCUGUCUCCACCCGAGACUCAGUGAAAUUGAAAUCGCCGUGAAGAUGCGGUGUACCCGCGGCUAGACGGAAAGACCCCGUGAACCUUUACUAUAGCUUGACACUGAACAUUGAAUUUUGAUGUGUAGGAUAGGUGGGAGACUUUGAAGUAGUCACGCCAGUGAUUAUGGAGUCGUCCUUGAAAUACCACCCUUUAACGUUUGAUGUUCUAACGAAGAUUACGAAACGUGGUCUCGGACAGUGUCUGGUGGGUAGUUUGACUGGGGCGGUCUCCUCCCAAAGAGUAACGGAGGAGCACGAAGGUUUGCUAAUGACGGUCGGACAUCGUCAGGUUAGUGCAAUGGUAUAAGCAAGCUUAACUGCGAGACAGACAAGUCGAGCAGGUACGAAAGUAGGUCAUAGUGAUCCGGUGGUUCUGAAUGGAAGGGCCAUCGCUCAACGGAUAAAAGGUACUCCGGGGAUAACAGGCUGAUACCGCCCAAGAGUUCAUAUCGACGGCGGUGUUUGGCACCUCGAUGUCGGCUCAUCACAUCCUGGGGCUGAAGUAGGUCCCAAGGGUAUGGCUGUUCGCCAUUUAAAGUGGUACGCGAGCUGGGUUUAGAACGUCGUGAGACAGUUCGGUCCCUAUCUGCCGUGGGCGUUGGAGAAUUGAUUGGGGCUGCUCCUAGUACGAGAGGACCGGAGUGGACGCACCACUGGUGUUCCGGUUGUGUCGCCAGACGCAUUGCCGGGUAGCUAAGUGCGGAAGAGAUAAGUGCUGAAAGCAUCUAAGCACGAAACUUGCCAAGAGAUGAGUUCUCCCAGAUUAUAAAUCUGUAAGGGUUGUUUAAGACUAAGACGUAGAUAGGCAUGGUGUGUAAGUGGUGCGAGCCAUUGAGCUAACAUGUACUAAUUGCCCGAGAGGCUUAGCCAU